RNAcentral lists this small nuclear RNA (303 nucleotides) under Rhinopithecus bieti (black snub-nosed monkey). Its description in RNAcentral is "7SK RNA (ENSRBIG00000030661.1)". It matches the Rfam family "7SK RNA". Rfam says of the family: 7SK was discovered as an abundant small nuclear RNA in the mid-70s but a possible function has only recently been suggested. Two independent studies have found that 7SK RNA binds the CDK9/cyclin T complex (known as elongation factor P-TEFb). P-TEFb activates transcription by phosphorylating the C-terminal domain of RNA polymerase II. Lineage: Eukaryota; Metazoa; Chordata; Mammalia; Primates; Cercopithecidae. The record is from Rfam by way of RNAcentral.
GGAUGUGAGGGCGAUCUGGCUGCGGCAUCCUGGCACACCACAUUGAUCGCGGGUUGAUUCUGGCUGAUCUGGCUGGCCUAGGUGGGUGUCGCUUCCUCCCUCCACCGCGUCCAUGUGCGUCCCUCCCCGAAGCUGCCUCUUGGUGGAAGAUGAGACCAUUCCCACUAGAGCGAGGAUGGGUCUUCAGUCAGGGUAUAAGAGUAGCUUCGCUCCCCUGCUAGAACUCCAAACAAGCUCUCAAGGUCCCAAAAUGUGGAAUUGACAGGCGUGAGCCACCACGCCCGGCAAAAUUAACUUUUAUUU